CUCCACCGGAAAAAGAGGAGUGGCGAACGGGUGAGUAACACGUGGGUAACCUGCCCAUCAGAAGGGGAUAACACUUGGAAACAGGUGCUAAUACCGUAUAACAAUCGAAACCGCAUGGUUUUGAUUUGAAAGGCGCUUUCGGGUGUCGCUGAUGGAUGGACCCGCGGUGCAUUAGCUAGUUGGUGAGGUAACGGCUCACCAAGGCCACGAUGCAUAGCCGACCUGAGAGGGUGAUCGGCCACAUUGGGACUGAGACACGGCCCAAACUCCUACGGGAGGCAGCAGUAGGGAAUCUUCGGCAAUGGACGAAAGUCUGACCGAGCAACGCCGCGUGAGUGAAGAAGGUUUUCG
This 351-nucleotide ribosomal RNA is filed under the name Enterococcus faecium. Its description in RNAcentral is "bacterial SSU rRNA". It matches the Rfam family "Bacterial small subunit ribosomal RNA", at positions 75 to 420 of the family's 1533-position model. Lineage: Bacteria; Bacillati; Bacillota; Bacilli; Lactobacillales; Enterococcaceae. The record is from RNAcentral.